AACACACACUGUAAAAAAUUUCUGUAAAUUUACAUGAAAAUUCAACAGCAAAAUGCUGUUUUCGUGUAAUAACAGUAAGUUGCUGUUUUUUACAGUGCAUUGUGGGUAGACUUGCUCACUUCAGGUCGGUUGUCGAGCAACAACAGAAUGUCACUGUUAUUUAACAGUAUUAUAGCAUAUUUUUCGUUGUGCACGCCAUUUUGGAUUGUCUGCAUGAGGUAGGUCUGCAACUUUAUCGAUGCUUGUGCUAUUUUAAAAUUACAUAUUACUUUUGAAUAUUGCGUUUUAUCCAGUGAAGCUUUAAAACAACAAAAUCAGAUUCCAUUUCCUAUUUUAAUCAGGCAAAGGGGGUAUUCUACCAUCACAUCAGUUACACUCACAUCAGAUCACAGGGUUAUUUUGGUGCUUUGGUGCUAUUUUGGUCCCUAUUCCCUGCAUUGUAUAGACAAACAAAUAUUGCAUAUAUUAUUAAGAUGUGUGCCACUCCUGCUGACUUUGAGGAGACUAGUAACUUGUGACACCUCGUUUGAUCCUGUUUGCAUCUUUGGCUAUAUUCAUGGCGAGUACUGGUUAAUCCAUAUACAAGUUUUUAUUUACACAAGUCAAUCCAGACACUGGUUGGGGUAGAGACAAUUUGGCAUCUGUGAGUACCUAGCUGGGGCUCGAACCAGGGAUCUUCUUGCUGUGCCUUUUACUAUCAGGAGAACAUCAAGCUUUAUGUGCCUCAUUCUGGAGGCCACCGUAUUUUAAACAUGUUUAAUGUGUGACAAACUGCCAGUGCUUGCAUAUUCUUCUCACUGCCUUUUCUACACUUAGCUCUCCAGAUAUUAAGGAUUAUACAUUAAUCUAUACAUUCAUUUGGUCCAGGUGAUACUUGGGACAAUGGAUUAAACAAUGGAUGAUCAGCCUGAAAGCCAAAAGAAUCUGCAAGGGUGUUCAGCCAAUGUGUCUCACUGGACUUACUGCAUUGUGUAUUACAUCUCAACUUGCAAAAGUGAAAGCAGCAUCCACACUGGAAGUCCUUCAAAGACGCUUCAUUAAUCAAACCAGAAAAGGGAACCAAGGCUGCAAAGGGAAAAGUGACCUCUAAAACAAGAAAACUGCAAAAGAAGACCAUCAACAGUCAGUCUCAAACUAUCAAAUCUUUUAAAAAGACUUAUGGACUUGGUACUUCAUUUAAAAUGUAGCUGACACUUCCCACCAAUACAGCUUUUUUUUAAAUAUGGUGGGCUGCAGCCUGCAGUGAUGGCAGGUGACUUCUCUGAGGGGGCACGAAUGCAAAGCUAGCCAAAACAUUGUCAUGUGUGUGGCUCCUCAUUUCAAAAUGUGUGUUCGGCGCGUCAUGUGAACUUGUGCAUCGCGUGUCAUUCCAAAAUACGUGCCUGCUCCAGACACUUUGAAGGGGAUUAUGAUAAAAUGCUCGCUUUUGCAGAUAAUCUCAUGUGUAAACAGAGUUUAGUGUUAAAUGAGUGUCUUGCGAAUCAUGUGUCAUGUGAAUGUCUCUUUUAUUCUUUAUCAUAUUCAAAGCGUUUGUGGCAGGCAUGUAUUUUGACAUGAUGUGCGAUGCAUAUAAUUCACAUUACACCCCGAACACAUAUUUUGCAUUCAGGCAACCACUGGUGGGGUGGUGUUUUUUAUACUGGUUUGUAUAUUAUAGACCAUGUUUUCAUAUUUAAAAUUGGGCUGGUGUCUGUUAAAGAAUUAGUGAAUUAAGGUUUUAUUGAAUUCUUCUAAAAAUGUGGUGUUUUUACAGUUGUGAAACUUUUGUGCUUUUUUGAAAUCUAAAUUUUAAACUACAUUUGUAUUUUAAGUAAAAUAUUGUUCUUUGUUUGUUUGAUUUUUUUUUUAAUUUUUGUAUUUUAGUAUGUUAUUGGUGCCUUUUUGUUGCACCACAGUUUAUGCAGUGAAUAUUAAAAUAUAUCUGCUUGUAUUUCUGCCUGUUUUAUGGCAUAACACAGUCAAUCUGGGGUUGAAUAGAAUAAAGAAUAAAAAAUGCAUAACCUGGCCUUUUUUGUUUUAUGUUAACCACUUUGACAAAUUUAAAAUGCAGGGUAUAAUAGCAUUUAAAUAAAAAAAUUAUGAAGUUGUGACUGUAAAUGAACAGGUAUAUGAUGCUAAAUAACAGUUUUAUGCUGUAGAUAACAAAAACAGUAUCAUGCUAUUAAAUAACAGCUGUAUUCUAUAGAUAACACAAACAGUACCAUGCUGUUAAAAUAACAGUUGACUGCUGUAGGUAACAAAACGGUAUCAUGAUGUUUUUCCUAAUAACAGCAUCCCGCUGUAAAUUAACAGUGCAAUGCUGGCAACCACAGCUUCCAGCAUAAUACCGUUUUUUUACAGGGAAAUUUUUUAC
Non-coding RNA from Paramisgurnus dabryanus, 2353 nucleotides. The record is from RefSeq and is a predicted model, not a curated record. NCBI's taxonomy places the organism in Eukaryota, Metazoa, Chordata, Actinopteri, Cypriniformes, Cobitidae.